GUGCUUGCUUUGGCAGCAUAUAUAAAAAAAUUGGAAUGAUGCAGAUAAGAUUAGUGUGGUCUCUGCACCAGGAAGCCACACAUAUUCAUGAAAUGUUCCAUAUUUUU
Candoia aspera is the source of this 107-nucleotide small nuclear RNA. Lineage: Eukaryota; Metazoa; Chordata; Lepidosauria; Squamata; Candoiidae. The record is from RefSeq and is a predicted model, not a curated record.